UACGGAGGGUGCAAGCGUUAAUCGGAAUUACUGGGCGUAAAGUGUGCGCAGGUGGCUGAGCAAGUCGAGUGUGAAAUCCCCGGGCUUAACUUGGGAAUUGCGCUCGAAACUACUUGGCUCGAGUGUGGCAGAGGAAGGUGGAAUUCCAGGUGUAGCGGUGAAAUGCGUAGAGAUCUGGAGGAACACCGAUGGCGAAGGCAGCCUUCUGGGCCAACACUGACGCUCAUGCACGAAAGCGUGGGGAGCAAACAGG
RNAcentral lists this ribosomal RNA (253 nucleotides) under uncultured bacterium. Its description in RNAcentral is "partial 16S ribosomal RNA". It matches the Rfam family "Bacterial small subunit ribosomal RNA", at positions 524 to 776 of the family's 1533-position model. The record is from RNAcentral.